UACGGGAGGCAGCAGUGGGGAAUUGUUCGCAAUGGGCGCAAGCCUGACGACGCAACGCCGCGUGGAGGACGAAGAUCUUCGGGUCGUAAACUCCUGUCGAGCGGGACGAACACCCAUCCGGUGAAUAUCCGGGAGGGCUGACGGUACCGCUAAAGGAAGCCCCGGCUAACUCCGUGCCAGCAGCCGCGGUAAUA
RNAcentral lists this ribosomal RNA (194 nucleotides) under uncultured Terriglobales bacterium. Its description in RNAcentral is "uncultured Acidobacteriales bacterium partial 16S ribosomal RNA". It matches the Rfam family "Bacterial small subunit ribosomal RNA", at positions 340 to 525 of the family's 1533-position model. Lineage: Bacteria; Pseudomonadati; Acidobacteriota; Terriglobia; Terriglobales. The record is from RNAcentral.